Molecule: ribosomal RNA, 396 nt
Filed under: uncultured archaeon
Lineage: Archaea
Description: bacterial SSU rRNA
Rfam family: Archaeal small subunit ribosomal RNA
Source: RNAcentral
CGGGAAACUGGGGCUAAUACCCGAUAGGCGAGGGCGCCUGGAAUGGUUCUUCACCCAAAGGGCUUUGGAAGCAUGCUUUUCAAUGUCGCCUGGGGAUGGGGCCGCGUCCGAUCAGGUUGUUGGUGAGGUAACGGCUCACCAAACCUAUAACCGGUACGGGCCGUGAGAGCGGUAGCCCGGAGAUGGGCACUGAGACAAGGGCCCACGCCCUACGGGGCGCAGCAGCCGCUAAAACUCCGCAAUGCACGAAAGUGUGACGGGGCUACCCCGAGUGCCGUCCGCUGAGGAUGGCUUUUCCUCAGUGUAACUAGCCGGGGGAAUAAGGAGAGGGCAAGACUGGUGUCAGCCGCCGUGGUAAUACCAGCUCUCCGAGUAGUAGGGAUGAUUAUUGGGCUU